GGGGAAUCUUAGACAAUGGGGGAAACCCUGAUCUAGCCAUGCCGCGUGAGCGAUGAAGGCCUUAGGGUUGUAAAGCUCUUUCAGCUGGGAAGAUAAUGACGGUACCAGCAGAAGAAGCCCCGGCUAACUCCGUGCCAGCAGCCGCGGUAAUACGGAGGGGGCUAGCGUUGUUCGGAAUUACUGGGCGUAAAGCGCACGUAGGCGGAUUGAAAAGUUGGGGGUGAAAUCCCGGGGCUCAACCUCGGAACUGCCUCCAAAACUAUCAGUCUUGAGUUCGAGAGAGGUGAGUGGAAUUCCGAGUGUAGAGGUGAAAUUCGUAGAUAUUCGGAGGAACACCAGUGGCGAAGGCGGCUCACUGGCUCGAUACUGACGCUGAGGUGCGAAAGCGUGGGGAGCAAAC
Molecule: ribosomal RNA, 400 nt
Filed under: uncultured bacterium
Lineage: Bacteria
Description: bacterial SSU rRNA
Rfam family: Bacterial small subunit ribosomal RNA
Source: RNAcentral